AGCCUGUCUGAGGAAAGACAAGGCACCGUUUUCCCAGCUGAGGAGUUUGGGGACGCCCUCUAAAGAGCUGCUUCCCCAAAGCUGGGUAGUGAGGUGACUCCAGCGGCUGUCCACCACCUUGACCUCUUGCCUUAAUGGACAAAUGAAGGGAGCACCGGUUUGAGCAACUGGCUAAAAUAAUUAUCUUCCCCUCUCCCGUGACUCUCAUCCCUGAAACUCCUUUCUGAACCCCAAGACUUCCCGCCUUCCUUCUAGCCUUGGCCCACCUCUUCUCCCCCUCAUGCCACCCCAUCUCCCCAGACACAUUCAUACGGGGGUCUGCUGGCCGGCGUUUUCUCCCUGCGAGGCCCUCUUCACUCUUCCUGCACCCUGCGCCCCAGAAACGCGCACGGGCCAUCGUCGAGCCCCCUCCCCCCUUCUCUGGCCGCUGUGGAAGCCUCUGGCGCUUCUCGAGCGGAGGUCACUUUGCUGAGGAGCUGGGAGCCUGGGGAAUGCAAAUGAGGCAAACCCAGAGAGGAGAGAAGAGAAGGAGAAGAGACAGGAGGGAGGGCGCUGCAUGUGUGAUGGAUGGAUGCCAGACCAUGACCAGCUGGCCCGUAACAAUGGCACCGAUGCUCCCACUACCACUCGCCAUUUACAUGUGUAUGAAGACAAAGGCAGCUUCUUCCCAGGCACAGUUAUGAAGAGGGUUGAGGGAAGAGGAAGAAGACAAUCCAUUUCUUUAGCAUAGGGUGGAUGUAUGGGGGGGCUGUGAAUCAUAUAGAUGGAUUCCUCCCUAGUCCGGAAGGAUUACGAAUGUAUUGGAAAAGGAGUUGCCCUCUGGGUUUGGCAUCACUUAAACGCUCAGUGGAUAGAGAACUGGAGACUUAGGAAGUCUUGGGUUCAAAUGUGGCCGCAGACACUUCCUAGCUGUGGGACCUUGGCCAAGUCACUUUGCCCCCACCCCCACCCCAUUGCCUAGCCCUUACCAGCUUCUGCCUCGGAACCAAUACACAGUGCUGAUUCCCAAACUUGGAAGGGAAGGGUUUAAACAAACAAAACACUCCAGCCAGAUGUAUCUUGGGAAGGGUGGUGAGCCCUCUCACCUUGAUUAAAUACCUCAUCCU
Molecule: long non-coding RNA, 1106 nt
Filed under: Monodelphis domestica (gray short-tailed opossum)
Lineage: Eukaryota; Metazoa; Chordata; Mammalia; Didelphimorphia; Didelphidae
Description: lncRNA (ENSMODG00000040017.1)
Source: RNAcentral